Molecule: ribosomal RNA, 593 nt
Filed under: Trichoderma harzianum
Lineage: Eukaryota; Fungi; Ascomycota; Sordariomycetes; Hypocreales; Hypocreaceae
Description: eukaryotic LSU rRNA
Rfam family: 5.8S ribosomal RNA (bases 219-372)
Source: RNAcentral
UGCGGAGGGAUCAUUACCGAGUUUACAACUCCCAAACCCAAUGUGAACGUUACCAAACUGUUGCCUCGGCGGGAUCUCUGCCCCGGGUGCGUCGCAGCCCCGGACCAAGGCGCCCGCCGGAGGACCAACCUAAAACUCUUAUUGUAUACCCCCUCGCGGGUUUUUUUAUAAUCUGAGCCUUCUCGGCGCCUCUCGUAGGCGUUUCGAAAAUGAAUCAAAACUUUCAACAACGGAUCUCUUGGUUCUGGCAUCGAUGAAGAACGCAGCGAAAUGCGAUAAGUAAUGUGAAUUGCAGAAUUCAGUGAAUCAUCGAAUCUUUGAACGCACAUUGCGCCCGCCAGUAUUCUGGCGGGCAUGCCUGUCCGAGCGUCAUUUCAACCCUCGAACCCCUCCGGGGGGUCGGCGUUGGGGAUCGGCCCUCCCUUAGCGGGUGGCCGUCUCCGAAAUACAGUGGCGGUCUCGCCGCAGCCUCUCCUGCGCAGUAGUUUGCACACUCGCAUCGGGAGCGCGGCGCGUCCACAGCCGUUAAACACCCAACUUCUGAAAUGUUGACCUCGGAUCAGGUAGGAAUACCCGCUGAACUUAAGCAUAUC